RNAcentral lists this ribosomal RNA (507 nucleotides) under uncultured bacterium. RNAcentral describes it as "partial 16S ribosomal RNA". It matches the Rfam family "Bacterial small subunit ribosomal RNA", at positions 28 to 506 of the family's 1533-position model. The record is from RNAcentral.
GACGAACGCUGGCGGCGUGCCUAAUACAUGCAAGUCGAACGCUUCUUUCCUCCCGAGUGCUUGCGCUCAAUUGGCAGGAGAAGUGGCGGACGGGUGAGUAACACGUGGGUAACCUACCCAUCAGAGGGGGAUAACACUUGGCAACAGGUGCUAAUACCGCAUAACAGUUUAUGCCGCAUGGCAUAAGAGUGAAGGUCGCUUUCGGGUGUCGUUGAUGGAUGGACCGGCGGUGCAUUAGCUAGUUGGUGAGGUAACGGCUCACCAAGGCGACGAUGCAUAGCCGACCUGGGAGGGUGAGGGUCGACAGUGGGAGUGAGAGACGGGCCACACUCCGACGGGGGGCAGGAGCAGGGAAUCUCGGGAAAUGGACGAAAGGCAGACCGAGCAACGCGCCGUGGGUGAAGAAGGCUUCCGGGUGGUAAAACUCUGUUGUUAGAGAAGAACAAGGACGUUAGUAACUGACGGUCCUCGGCGGGAAUCUAACAAGAAGGCCCGGGCUACUUACGU